Molecule: transfer RNA, 74 nt
Filed under: Parcubacteria bacterium DG_72
Lineage: Bacteria; Candidatus Parcubacteria
Description: tRNA-Ala
Rfam family: tRNA
About the family: Transfer RNA (tRNA) molecules are approximately 80 nucleotides in length. Their secondary structure includes four short double-helical elements and three loops (D, anti-codon, and T loops).
Source: RNAcentral
GGGGCCGUAGCUCAUACAGGAAGAGCGCUGCUGUCGCAUAGCAGAGGUGAUGGGUUCGAAUCCCAUCGGCUCCA